This 69-nucleotide transfer RNA is filed under the name Roseovarius atlanticus. Its description in RNAcentral is "tRNA-Arg". It matches the Rfam family "tRNA". From Rfam's summary of the family: Transfer RNA (tRNA) molecules are approximately 80 nucleotides in length. Their secondary structure includes four short double-helical elements and three loops (D, anti-codon, and T loops). Further hydrogen bonds mediate the characteristic L-shaped molecular structure. tRNAs have two regions of fundamental functional importance: the anti-codon, which is responsible for specific mRNA codon recognition, and the 3' end, to which the tRNAs corresponding amino acid is attached (by aminoacyl-tRNA synthetases). tRNAs cope with the degeneracy of the genetic code in two manners: having more than one tRNA (with a specific anti-codon) for a particular amino acid; and 'wobble' base-pairing, i.e. permitting non-standard base-pairing at the 3rd anti-codon position. Lineage: Bacteria; Pseudomonadati; Pseudomonadota; Alphaproteobacteria; Rhodobacterales; Roseobacteraceae. The record is from RNAcentral.
AUAACUUAGAAAGUUGGCGCUGCCCUCCGAAGGCAGAGGCCAAAGGUUCGAAUCCUUUCAGGUGCGCCA